AAAGAGUGUAGUUUUACAGUGUUCACAUCCAAAGUUUAACCGUUUAUUUUAUUUAAAUUUUUUAUAAUUAAUAUUUUUUUAUUUUUAGAUGAUAAAAUAUAAAUAAUACUUUAUAUAUCACUAAUUUUUUUAAAAAUAUUAUAAAUUUUUUAAAUAAAACGGAUGGUAAAAUAUUUGACACGGAAACUUGUAUCUGUACUUAAA
Molecule: microRNA precursor, 204 nt
Filed under: Oryza sativa Indica Group (long-grained rice)
Lineage: Eukaryota; Viridiplantae; Streptophyta; Magnoliopsida; Poales; Poaceae
Description: MIR812 microRNA precursor family
Rfam family: MIR812 microRNA precursor family
Source: Rfam by way of RNAcentral